Molecule: ribosomal RNA, 744 nt
Filed under: uncultured Fusobacterium sp.
Lineage: Bacteria; Fusobacteriati; Fusobacteriota; Fusobacteriia; Fusobacteriales; Fusobacteriaceae
Description: bacterial SSU rRNA
Rfam family: Bacterial small subunit ribosomal RNA
Source: RNAcentral
GAUGAACGCUGACAGAAUGCUUAACACAUGCAAGUCAACUUGAACUUCGGUUUGGGUGGCGGACGGGUGAGUAACGCGUAAAGAACUUGCCUCACAGAUAGGGACAACAUUUGGAGACGAAUGCUAAUACCUGAUAUUAUGAUUUUAGGGCAUCCUAGAAUUAUGAAAGCUAUAUGCGCUGUGGGAGAGCUUUGCGUCCCAUUAGCUAGUUGGAGAGGUAACGGCUCACCAAGGCGAUGAUGGGUAGCCGGCCUGAGAGGGUGAUCGGCCACAAGGGGACUGAGACACGGCCCAAACUCCUACGGGAGGCAGCAGUAGGGAAUCUUCCACAAUGGACGCAAGUCUGAUGGAGCAACGCCGCGUGAGUGAAGAAGGGUUUCGGCUCGUAAAGCUCUGUUGGUAGUGAAGAAAGAUAGAGGUAGUAACUGGCCUUUAUUUGACGGUAAUUACUUAGAAAGCCACGGCUAACUACGUGCCAGCAGCCGCGGUAAUACGUAGGUGGCAAGCGUUGUCCGGAUUUAUUGGGCGUAAAGCGAGUGCAGGCGGUUCAAUAAGUCUGAUGUGAAAGCCUUCGGCUCAACCGGAGAAUUGCAUCAGAAACUGUUGAACUUGAGUGCAGAAGAGGAGAGUGGAACUCCAUGUGUAGCGGUGGAAUGCGUAGAUAUAUGGAAGAACACCAGUGGCGAAGGCGGCUCUCUGGUCUGCAACUGACGCUGAGGCUCGAAAGCAUGGGUAGCGAACAGG